This 406-nucleotide ribosomal RNA is filed under the name uncultured bacterium. RNAcentral's name for it is "partial 16S ribosomal RNA". It matches the Rfam family "Bacterial small subunit ribosomal RNA", at positions 30 to 526 of the family's 1533-position model. The record is from RNAcentral.
AUUGAACGCUGGCGGCAGGCUUAACACAUGCAAGUCGAGCGAGCGGCGGACGGGUGAGUAAUGUCUGGGAAACUGCCUGAUGGAGGGGGAUAACUACUGGAAACGGUAGCUAAUACCGCAUACCAUCAGAUGUGCCCAGAUGGGAUUAGCUAGUAGGUGGGGUAAUGGCUCACCUAGGCGACGAUCCCUAGCUGGUCUGAGAGGAUGAACAGCAAAACUGAAACUGAGACACGGGCCAAGCUCGAACGGGAGGAAACAGUGGGGAAUAUUGCAAAAUGGGCGAAAGCCUGAUGGAGCCAUGCCGCAUGUGUGAAGAAGGCCUUCGGGUUGUAAAGCACUUUCAGCGAGGAGGCGUUACUCGCAGAAGAAGCACCGGCUAACUCCGUGCCAGCAGCCGCGGUAAUUC